CAGGUCUUGACAUCCCACUGACCGGCUUAGAGAUAGGCUUUUCCCUUCGGGGACAGUGGUGACAGGUGGUGUAUGGUUGUCGUCAGCUCGUGUCGUGAGAUGUUGGGUUAAGUCCCGCAACGAGCGCAACCCUUGAUCUUAGUUGCCAGCAUUCAGUUGGGCACUCUAAGGUGACUGCCGGUGAUAAACCGGAGGAAGGUGGGGAUGACGUCAAAUCAUCAUGCCCCUUAUGACCUGGGCUACACACGUGCUACAAUGGACGAUACAAAGGGCUGCAAACCCGCGAGGGGGAGCCAAUCCCAUAAAAUCGUUCUCAGUUCGGAUUGUAGGCUGCAACUCGCCUACAUGAAGCCGGAAUCGCUAGUAAUCGUGGAUCAGCAUGCCACGGUGAAUACGUUCCC
RNAcentral lists this ribosomal RNA (401 nucleotides) under uncultured bacterium. Its description in RNAcentral is "bacterial SSU rRNA". It matches the Rfam family "Bacterial small subunit ribosomal RNA", at positions 975 to 1375 of the family's 1533-position model. The record is from RNAcentral.